This 460-nucleotide ribosomal RNA is filed under the name uncultured bacterium. Its description in RNAcentral is "partial 16S ribosomal RNA". It matches the Rfam family "Bacterial small subunit ribosomal RNA", at positions 338 to 795 of the family's 1533-position model. The record is from RNAcentral.
CCUACGGGGAGCAGCAGUGAGGAAUAUUGGUCAAUGGACGAGAGUCUGAACCAGCCAAGUAGCGUGAAGGAUGACUGCCCUAUGGGUUGUAAACUUCUUUUAUAUGGGAAUAAAAUGUUCCACGUGUGGGCUUUUGUAUGUUCCAUAUGAAUAAGGCUCGGCGAACGCCGUGCCAGCAGCCGCGGUAAUACGGAGGAUCCGAGCGUUAUCCGGAUUUAUUGGGGUUAAAGGGAUCGUUGGUGGGUAGUUAAGUCAGUUGUGAAAGGUUGCGGCCAAACCGUAAAAUUGCAGUUGAAACUGGCAGUCUUGAGUACAGUAGAGGUGGGCGGAAUUCGUGGUGUAGCGGUGAAAUGCUUAGAUAUCACGAAGAACUCCGAUUGCGAAGGCAGCUCACUGGACUGCAACUGACACUGAGGCUCGAAAGUGUGGGUAUCAAACAGGAUUAGAUACCCUUGUAGUC